AUUGAACGCUGGCGGCAUGCCUUACACAUGCAAGUCGAACGGGCAGCACGGGGGCAACCCUGGUGGCGAGUGGCGAACGGGUGAGUAAUACAUCGGAACGUGCCCCGUAGCGGGGGACAACCAGUCGAAAGACUGGCUAAUACCGCAUACGCUCCACGGAGGAAAGCAGGGGAUCGCAAGACCUUGCACUAUGGGAGCGGCCGAUGCCCGAUUAGCUAGUUGGUGAGGUAAAGGCUCACCAAGGCAACGAUCGGUAGCUGGUCUGAGAGGACGACCAGCCUCACUGGGACUGAGACACGGCCCAGACUCCUACGGGAGGCAGCAGUGGGGAAUUUUGGACAAUGGGCGCAAGCCUGAUCCAGCCAUGCC
Molecule: ribosomal RNA, 369 nt
Filed under: uncultured bacterium
Lineage: Bacteria
Description: bacterial SSU rRNA
Rfam family: Bacterial small subunit ribosomal RNA
Source: RNAcentral